Molecule: non-coding RNA, 330 nt
Organism: Vicia faba (fava bean)
Lineage: Eukaryota; Viridiplantae; Streptophyta; Magnoliopsida; Fabales; Fabaceae
Source: the annotation of a GenBank genome assembly
AUGGCUCAACUUCUUCGACAAAGCGGCGCGAUCUCCUCCGACGUCUUCAUCAUCUUCGUCCGUUUCCCUUGUCUCAGCUUCGACGCCUUCGAUUUCAUCUCCGUUUUCUUCUCCUUCCUUUCUCCGAUUAAGACAUUCUUUUCAUCUAAUUCGUCACCGUUGAAACUUCGAUCGGCCUCCGCCUUGGUUCCGUUCUUCAGUUCGUCAACUCCGAUGCAUCAACGACAUCUCGGUUUCACUCAUGGCUCGCUCUACUCCGCCGUUUCACAGUUGUGUUCGUCGCGGUUCCAACGUCGAGUUUCGUCUUCUCACGAUUCUCAGCUAGGUUGA